RNAcentral lists this long non-coding RNA (860 nucleotides) under Toxoplasma gondii VEG. Lineage: Eukaryota; Apicomplexa; Conoidasida; Eucoccidiorida; Sarcocystidae. The record is from RNAcentral.
GAUUCCCUGAAUUUGGACGAUCGCUGUCGCAGUGGCAGCGCCGCCUUUGGUGCUCGCUGCGUCACUUCCGCAACGGGAGGACAGGGGCGACAGCCAAGCUCUCUGUUUGUGACGACAGGUCCUUCCCAGGGAAGGCUCAGCGUUUGUCGGGGACGCUUCCGUCCUCGAGCUUCCACGUGGACUUCUUACUGAAGCGGGCGCAUGCUGUUUCGUCUUCCACGCCCGGGGCCUUUUCCGUCAGCUCCUCAACGCCACUCGCUGCUUUACAGACCUGCGAGUGUCGGCGGGGAUCUCGCGAGUCGCGGUGGACGGGUGCCUCCGAACGUUUCUCUGCUCCCGUCUUCAGUGUUGCCCGCGUUCGUCUACUCACCGGCGAAGCCUUGCAGAUUCACUCCAUGCGGCGCAGGAACGCUCCUGUGGCAGCGGGGCUGGACUGACACCAAAGGUUUCACCGCUCGCAGUUCGUCUGCUGAUGGUGUUUGGAGACCCGGCGAAAGAUUUGCAGGAAAAGCUCGCGUCCGCGAGUGAAUGCGUCCUCGUCGAAGAACAGUGCCGACUUCUGCCUCGCACACGACCUUGAGGUGGCGAGUCGAGCAGCGCGAACGUUCUUCAAUCAGGAAACAUAACACUCUUUGAACAGGUCCUUUUCGCUCGAAGACGCCAGAAAUUCGCCUGGCGGAGGCGGAAGACUGCAGCGCCUGCAGUCUGUUGGUCUUUUUCACUCGAUCCAGACGGUACAUUCGAUGCGUGCUGUUGGAGAUAUAUCCCGGCAGCGGCCGACAUCUGGAAAGACUGGUUUCUCACUGUUUUAUUGUUCUAGGUGAAUGCUCUUCGGGAAUUCAUCAACACUAUAAUUUGAG